RNAcentral lists this ribosomal RNA (496 nucleotides) under uncultured bacterium. RNAcentral's name for it is "bacterial SSU rRNA". It matches the Rfam family "Bacterial small subunit ribosomal RNA", at positions 28 to 507 of the family's 1533-position model. The record is from RNAcentral.
GACGAACGCUGGCGGCGUGCCUAAUACAUGCAAGUCGAGCGGAGUUAGAGAAGCUUGCUUCUCUAACUUAGCGGCGGACGGGUGAGUAACACGUGGGCAAUCUGCCCGUAAGACUGGGAUAACUCCGGGAAACCGGGGCUAAUACCGGAUAAUCCUGACUCUCUCCUGAGAGUCAGUUGAAAGAUGGUUUCGGCUAUCACUUACGGAUGAGCCCGCGGCGCAUUAGCUAGUUGGUAGGGUAAUGGCCUACCAAGGCGACGAUGCGUAGCCGACCUGAGAGGGUGAUCGGCCACACUGGGACUGAGACACGGCCCAGACUCCUACGGGAGGCAGCAGUAGGGAAUCUUCCACAAUGGACGAAAGUCUGAUGGAGCAACGCCGCGUGAGUGAAGAAGGUUUUCGGAUCGUAAAACUCUGUUGUAAGGGAAGAACACGUACGAGAGUAACUGCUCGUACCUUGACGGUACCUUAUUAGAAAGCCACGGCUAACUACGUG